Molecule: long non-coding RNA, 1856 nt
Organism: Acinonyx jubatus (cheetah)
Lineage: Eukaryota; Metazoa; Chordata; Mammalia; Carnivora; Felidae
Exons: 3
Source: RefSeq, a predicted model, not a curated record
UACAUUUUAAACACCCUGCAGAGAAAGGUUGCUGCGUUUGGACCAGGAGGGAAGUUGUGGAGGUCCAGAUUGUUUACCAUAUCCAGGUUCUAUUUUAAAAGACAGCUGACAGACUUCUGAUACAUUAGAUGCAUGGUGAAAGAAAAAGAAAAGAAUCAAGGCUAUUUUUAAUCACAAACAGACUUUUCAACAUGUGGAAUUGGGGAUGAAGACAUCCUGUUAAAAGAGAAGAAUCUGAGGAAAGACACAGGUGCUUCAGGCUGGAAGGGAUCCUGAGAGGUCAUCACCCUGCCUCAAGGCAGAAUGAACCUGAAGUCUCUUAGAGGAAAAAGAUGAAGAAUUUAGGAAUUCCACCACUCUUCUACAGGCCCACCCUCUUCAACCCCCUACCCCGGCUCCCCCAAACCAAGUCCACCUCAGUAAGGGUGUGCACACAAUAGCAAAGCUGCUCUAAUUUUUGUUUGUUUGUUUCUUUUUAAUUGAUGCAGAGAAGCUUCAGAUGUAAUGAUUAAUUUAAAUACAGAAAAUAAUCCUUAAUAGAAAAAGUCUCAAUAUUGGAAUGUCUAUUAUCAUCAUCAUCAUCAUCAUUAAAUUCAGUUAUUAAUUUCCAAUCAUAAUGAUCUAAUUAGGUUUUAAUAUUUGUGCAUAUCACAUUAACAGGUAUUCCUCUGAAUACAGUGUUGUCCCCAAAUUUUAUCACUAACAAAAAAGGAAACUGUUGCUUAGCAAUAAGGAAAAACAUAGGGCUAAAAUUCAUCUCAAAAGCAUAUUGUAGUCAGCCAUAAGAAGUCAUAGUAAAUGAUGAUAUCUAAAGGAAUGGUUGAAUGUGGAAACUCAAUGGGAAAAGAACUGUUUCCUAUUAGUUUUAACAGCAGGGUUUGUUAUCAUUUAAAUACACGCUCUAAUACACUUAGUGUUUUGUGCUACAUUUAACAAGAUUAAGUGAACACACACUGUUUCAACUCAAAUCUUUAUAGGAAAUCAGAGGCAAGCCUCAUUUCUUGCCAAAACAUUCUCUUAUGGCUCAUUUUUGGAGCAAAUUCCAUAUAAGUAAAUCUGUUUACCCAGGUGACCACUGAUCAACUAAAGGAUUUUCCUUUCAGGUAUUUCUGCUUUACAGAACUUUGAAAACUUUAUCUGAAAGUUCAAAAAAAUAGAUCCAUCCUAUGUGCUAUAAAGACCACAAUUUGUAAAACAAUGAAAAUGGCAUUUGAAUAUAGCAAAGAAUUAAAAGAAAAUAAGAAGGAUAAGCUCUCAGAAUUCUUACAUGAUUUCACUGUCAUGCUACAAAUUAUUAUAUUCUGAGGAAAAGUAGUAGAUACUAGAUAGCAUACCCAAAAGGACAUAGUGUCUCAUUGUCUCAUGUGUUAAUUUCCCCCUUGACUGAAAAAGCUUGAACAGUCUGAAAGUAAGCUUCCAAGAACAUUACAAAAGAGGUGGCCCUAUCUCAACUUUCAGAUAAACUUAAUGAAAUUUUACCUGUUAUGUCAUCCUACACAUCAAAUUCCAUUUUAAAGGACAAUACAUCUGUAGUUCCUUGCAUUUUAUAUUAUCUUGUAAGGCAUUUCUCCUUAUAUAUGUAUGAUGCAAAUAUAUAUAUAGAUAUCUAUCUAUAUGUAUAUGAUGCAAAUAUAUCUAUAUCUAUAUAGAUAUAGAUAUCUAAAGAUAUCUCUAUAAAUAUAUCUAGAUCACUCUAUAUUUUAUAAAAUAUUUUAUGUUCUAGUUCAAGUUCAAUAAAUAUUUAUAUAGCUUCUUUUUUUUUAUUUUCCACAUUUGUAAGUGGAAUGUAGGAUACAUGAAAUAAAAGUGAUUUUGCCAUACUUCUAUUGGUCUUGUAGGUAGUUUAAAAAUCUAGU